RNAcentral lists this ribosomal RNA (506 nucleotides) under uncultured bacterium. RNAcentral describes it as "partial 16S ribosomal RNA". It matches the Rfam family "Bacterial small subunit ribosomal RNA", at positions 28 to 523 of the family's 1533-position model. The record is from RNAcentral.
GAUGAACGCUAGCUACAGGCUUAACUCAUGCAAGUCGAGGGGUAACGAGAGGAAAGCUUGCUUUCCUUGUUGACGACCGGCGCACGGGUGAGUAACGCGUAUCCAACCUGCCCCCAACUAGGGAAUAACCUUGCGAAAGUAAGACUAAUACCCUAUAAUUUCCUCAGAUGUCAUCUGACGAGGAAUAAAGAUUUAUCGGCUGUGGAUGGGGAUGCGUCUGAUUAGCUUGUUGGCGGGGUAACGGCCCACCAAGGCAACGAUCAGUAGGGGUUCUGAGAGGAAGGUCCCCCAAAUUGGAACUGAGACACGGUCCAAACUCCUACGGGAGGCAGCAGUGAGGAAUAUUGGUCAAUGGGCGGAAGCCUGAACCAGCCAAGUAGCGUGCAGGAUGACGGCCCUAUGGGUUGUAAACUGCUUUUAUACAGGAAUAAAGUUAGCCACGUGUGGUUAUUUGUAGGUACUGUAUGAAUAAGGACCGGCUAAUUCCGUGCCAGCAGCCGCAGUAA